RNAcentral lists this unclassified non-coding RNA (207 nucleotides) under Hevea brasiliensis (rubber tree). Lineage: Eukaryota; Viridiplantae; Streptophyta; Magnoliopsida; Malpighiales; Euphorbiaceae. The record is from RNAcentral.
UAGAUUGCAUUUGGUGCAGGGUUAAAGAAUUGAGUAAAAAAAUUACAUUAGUAAAAUUAAGGGGGUAAAGGAAUUUGGUAAAAGAUUAGAGCAGUAAAAUUUAAGCGUGUUUAGUAUGGAGUAAAACAAUAUGUAUUUUGAUAAUAUUAAUAAAGGCGGGAACUCAUCUUAAGACAAUUAAUUAAUGAAUAGAGAUGAAAUAAGAAA